GAGUUUGAUUCUGGCUCAGGAUGAACGCUGGCGGCGUGCCUAACACAUGCAAGUCGAGCGCGGUUGUGCUUAGUAUUGAGUGUUUUAUUGAUAUAAAACAUUGAAUUCUAUGCACAGCUGAGCGGCGGACGGGUGAGUAACGCGUGGGUAACCUGCCCUAUACACAUGGAUAACAUACUGAAAAGUUUACUAAUACAUGAUAAAAUAGUUUUUCGGCAUCGAAGAAUUAUCAAAGUGUCAGCGGUAUAGGAUGGACCCGCGUCUGAUUAGCUAGUUGGUGAGAUAACUGCCCACCAAGGCGACGAUCAGUAGCCGACCUGAGAGGGUGAUCGGCCACAUUGGAACUGAGACACNGUCCAAACUCCUACGGGAGGCAGCAGUGGGGAAUAUUGCACAAUGGGCGCAAGCCUGAUGCAGCAANCGCCNCGUGAACGAUGAAGGUCUUCGGAUCGUAAAGUUCUGUUGCAGGGGAAGAUAAUGANCGUACCCU
This 490-nucleotide ribosomal RNA is filed under the name Peptostreptococcus sp. canine oral taxon 033. Its description in RNAcentral is "bacterial SSU rRNA". It matches the Rfam family "Bacterial small subunit ribosomal RNA", at positions 9 to 481 of the family's 1533-position model. Lineage: Bacteria; Bacillati; Bacillota; Clostridia; Peptostreptococcales; Peptostreptococcaceae. The record is from RNAcentral.